This 768-nucleotide ribosomal RNA is filed under the name uncultured Lactarius. RNAcentral's name for it is "eukaryotic LSU rRNA". The stretch from base 299 to 452 matches the Rfam family "5.8S ribosomal RNA". Lineage: Eukaryota; Fungi; Basidiomycota; Agaricomycetes; Russulales; Russulaceae. The record is from RNAcentral.
CUUGGUCAUUUAGAGGAAGUAAAAGUCGUAACAAGGUUUCCGUAGGUGAACCUGCGGAAGGAUCAUUAUCGUACAAAAUGUGUGAGGCAUGCAAGGGCUGUCGCUGACUUUCUAAUCACAAAAAGUCGUGCACGCCGGAGCGUGUCCUCUCGCAUAAAAUCCAUCUCACCCUUUUGUGCACCACCGCGUGGGCACCCUUUGGGAUCGAACCGAUCCAGGAGGGCGCUUGCGUUUUCACACAAACCCCCUUAUAAAAGUGUAGAAUGACCCCAUUUUUGCGAUAACACGCAAUCAAUACAACUUUCAACAACGGAUCUCUUGGCUCUCGCAUCGAUGAAGAACGCAGCGAAAUGCGAUACGUAAUGUGAAUUGCAGAAUUCAGUGAAUCAUCGAAUCUUUGAACGCACCUUGCGCCCCUUGGUAUUCCGAGGGGCACACCCGUUUGAGUGUCGUGAAAAUCUCAACCUCCUCGGUUUCUUCUGGACGCCGGAGGAGGCUUGGACUUUGGAGGCCUUUGCUGGCGUCUCUCGCCAGCUCCUCUCAAAUGAAUUAGCGGGGUCCUCUUUGCCGAUCCUCGACGUGUGAUAAGAUGUUUCCAUGUCUUGGUUUCUGGCUCUGUCGCCUUUGGGACCCGCUUCUAACCGUCUCAAGUCGAGACAACGUUUGAGCGUGUCUCCCUUCUCGGGAAACACCCUCGAGCCCACGAACCCUCGACCUCAAAUCGGGUGAGACUACCCGCUGAACUUAAGCAUAUCAAUAAGCGGAGGA